GAUGAACGCUGGCGGCGUGCCUAAUACAUGCAAGUCGAGCGAACGGACGAGAAGCUUGCUUUUCUGAUGUUAGCGGCGGACGGGUGAGUAACACGUGGAUAACCUACCUAUAAGACUGGGAUAACUUCGGGAGACCGGAGCUAAUACCGGAUAAUAUUUUGAACCGCAUGGUUCAAAAGUGAAAGACGGUCUUGCUGUCACUUAUAGAUGGAUCCGCGCUGCAUUAGCUAGUUGGUAAGGUAACGGCUUACCAAGGCAACGAUGCAUAGCCGACCUGAGAGGGUGAUCGGCCACACUGGAACUGAGACACGGUCCAGACUCCUACGGGAGGCGGCAGUAGGGAAUCUUCCGCAAUGGGCGAAAGCCUGACGGAGCAACGCCGCGUGAGUGAUGAAGGUCUUCGGAUCGUAAAACUCUGUUAUUAGGGAAGAACAUAUGUGUAAGUAACUGUGCACAUCUUGACGGUACCUAAUCAGAAAGCCACGGCUAACUACGUG
Molecule: ribosomal RNA, 497 nt
Filed under: uncultured bacterium
Lineage: Bacteria
Description: partial 16S ribosomal RNA
Rfam family: Bacterial small subunit ribosomal RNA
Source: RNAcentral